RNAcentral lists this non-coding RNA (201 nucleotides) under Desulfovibrio sp. Lineage: Bacteria; Pseudomonadati; Thermodesulfobacteriota; Desulfovibrionia; Desulfovibrionales; Desulfovibrionaceae. The record is from RNAcentral.
AAUAUCAACUUUUUCAGUGGUGCUCUUGCGAGCUUAAAAGGGAAUCCUGUUUAAUUCAGGAACGGACCCGCCGCCGUGAGUCCUAUACAAUUGAACCCCGUAGCCGAUUUUAAUUCGGCUUAGCGUGUCACUGAAAUCUAUUUCGGGAAGGCCGGGUAAGAUGGGACAAGUCGGAAGACCUGCCAACACUGAUAUAUAUGC